Molecule: long non-coding RNA, 305 nt
Organism: Pan paniscus (pygmy chimpanzee)
Lineage: Eukaryota; Metazoa; Chordata; Mammalia; Primates; Hominidae
Source: Ensembl
CUCAUUGGCUACAACAACAUUGAUGCAUUUUUUGCGCGAAGAUGGAGGCCUCCCUUUGUCUUCGCCAAAGCCAGUAGGUCAGUGGUUGUCAAAGGCGACAAUGCAUCGGUAUUGUCUGAAGAACUUUUCAAAUACCUGCUCCUUUCUAGGAUCCAGACACAGGAUAAGAAAUAUGCAGUCAUUGAAGAAAAGUCAGAAAAUAUAUAAAAGCAAAAAGAAGGAAGCAACAACAUUGGAAAUGGCCUGAAGCCACAGAUACAUGUGGGGAAUGACCUUUCCAUGCCUGUGUGGUUUAUUGGGAUUAU